Molecule: long non-coding RNA, 379 nt
Organism: Astatotilapia calliptera (eastern happy)
Lineage: Eukaryota; Metazoa; Chordata; Actinopteri; Cichliformes; Cichlidae
Source: Ensembl
GGACAUGAAACCGUUCACAGAUGUGUCUGCACAUGUAGGAAACACCAUCUACAGGCUGUAUUUUGGUCAUGGAGGUCACUGCCCUGCAGAAACUGGUUUACCUCAAAGCUUUGAUUAAAAACAACCUGUCAGGUCAUGACUGGUCCAUGACGUGCCACGAGACGAUACGCGACACUGACCCACUAUUAUCUCAUCAACGAGAUGUGUCGCAGCAGAUGGCCCCGCCCCUCCCUGAGCCUGGUUCUGCUGGUGGUUUCUUCCUGUUAAAAGGGAGUUUUUCCUUCCCACUGUCACUAAAGUGCUUGUUCAUAGGGAGUCAUAUGAUUGUUGGCUGUUUCUCUGUAUGUAUUAUUGUAGGGUCUAUCUUACAAUAAAAAGC